Molecule: small nuclear RNA, 107 nt
Organism: Cervus hanglu yarkandensis (Yarkand deer)
Lineage: Eukaryota; Metazoa; Chordata; Mammalia; Artiodactyla; Cervidae
Source: Ensembl
GUGCUCGCUUUGGCAGCAUAUCUACUGAAACUAGAGCAGUACACAGAAGGUCAGCACGGCCCCUGCGCGAGCAUGACACGCAAGUUCAUCAAGUGUUCCAUGUUAAA